This 285-nucleotide long non-coding RNA is filed under the name Bos taurus (domestic cattle). RNAcentral describes it as "long non-coding RNA NONBTAT024407". The record is from RNAcentral. Lineage: Eukaryota; Metazoa; Chordata; Mammalia; Artiodactyla; Bovidae.
CCCUACUCGAGUGACAGAGGAGACUGGGCCCACAUUGGAUAUGUUAGGACAUCUCUUGGUGGCUUCCUUGGUCCAGGCAAGGAACGAGAGCAGUUGAAAAUCAUAGCAGUAAUAUUUGCAAACUUACUCUAGAAAAAUAUUAAACAACACAUUCUGAAUGUUUUCUUCUUGCCCUACAUGUUAAAAAAUGACCAGAGGAAAAAGGGAGAACUCAUCCCCACGUUAUUAUAAUUGGGAUGUUGUUUUUAUUAUAAUUAUUAUGAUUUUGAUUAUUUCGUGUACAUU